GCUGACCUGCGGAAGGAUCAUUG
This 23-nucleotide ribosomal RNA is filed under the name Fagus grandifolia (American beech). Its description in RNAcentral is "partial 18S ribosomal RNA". The record is from RNAcentral. Lineage: Eukaryota; Viridiplantae; Streptophyta; Magnoliopsida; Fagales; Fagaceae.